RNAcentral lists this ribosomal RNA (492 nucleotides) under uncultured bacterium. RNAcentral's name for it is "partial 16S ribosomal RNA". It matches the Rfam family "Bacterial small subunit ribosomal RNA", at positions 29 to 507 of the family's 1533-position model. The record is from RNAcentral.
AGUGAACGCUGGCGGUAGGCCUAACACAUGCAAGUCGAACGGCAGCACAGUAAGAGCUUGCUCUUACGGGUGGCGAGUGGCGGACGGGUGAGGAAUACAUCGGAAUCUACUUUUUCGUGGGGGACAACGUAGGGAAACUUACGCUAAUACCGCAUACGAUCUACGGGUGAAAGCAGGGGAUCUUCGGAGCUUGCGUGACAGAAUGAGACGAUGCCGGAUUAGCUAGUUGGGGGGGUAAAGGCCCACCAAGGCAACGAUCCGUAGCUGGUCUGAGAGGAUGAUCAGCCACACUGGAACUGAGACACGGUCCAGACUCCUACGGGAGGCAGCAGUGGGGAAUAUUGGACAAUGGGCGCAAGCCUGAUCCAGCCAUACCGCGUGAGUGAUGAAGGCCUUCGGGUUGUAAAGCCCUGUUGUUGGGAAAGAAAAGCAGCAGGUUAAUACCCCGCUGUUCUGACGGUACCCAAAGAAUAAGCACCGGCUAACUUCGUG